AGUUAGCUGACGAGUCCCAAAUAGGACGAAAUGCGCCUUAUCCUGGCU
This is a non-coding RNA of Trichobilharzia regenti, 48 nucleotides long. NCBI's taxonomy places the organism in Eukaryota, Metazoa, Platyhelminthes, Trematoda, Strigeidida, Schistosomatidae. The record is from Rfam.